RNAcentral lists this ribosomal RNA (450 nucleotides) under uncultured bacterium. RNAcentral describes it as "partial 16S ribosomal RNA". It matches the Rfam family "Bacterial small subunit ribosomal RNA", at positions 338 to 795 of the family's 1533-position model. The record is from RNAcentral.
CCUACGGGCGGCUGCAGUAGGGAAUAUUGGGCAAUGGAGGCAACUCUGACCCAGCCAUGCCGCGUGCAGGAUGACGGCCCUCUGGGUUGUAAACUGCUUUUAUACGGGAAGAAAAAAUACUACGUGUAGUAUACUGACGGUACCGUAAGAAUAAGGAUCGGCUAACUCCGUGCCAGCAGCCGCGGUAAUACGGAGGAUCCCAGCGUUGUCCGGAUUUAUUGGGUUUAAGGGGGAUUUUUAAGUCAGUUUUGAAAGCCUGCAGCUUAACUGUAGAAUUGCCAUUGAAACUGAAAAUCUUGAAUUUGGUUAAAGUAGGCGGAAUGUAUCAUGUAGCGGUGAAAUGCUUAGAUAUGAUACAGAACACCGAUAGCGAAGGCAGCUUGCUGAACCAAUAUUGACGCUGAGGCACGAAAGCGUGGGGAGCGAACAGGAUUAGAUACCCGGGUAGUC